AUUGGAAGAUGUGUAAGAGUCCUGACUACAGCAGGGAGUGUGGGAUCAGGAUUCAUGAAUGGGACUGGAACUCCAGGAGGGUAGAGUGUACCUUGGGCUCUACUGCAAUCUUGGUAAACAACCUAUGAACUUCAGGAAAUUCACAGGCUUCUUCAAUGAAGAAAGCAGCUGGCAGGGGGUGACAGAAUUUUAGAGGGUCUUACACCUUUCAUGUGACAAACCUGUCUACGUAGCUGCAGACUGCAGAGUGAGGGCAUUUCCUGGUAGGCUGG
RNAcentral lists this long non-coding RNA (272 nucleotides) under Junco hyemalis (dark-eyed junco). Its description in RNAcentral is "lncRNA (ENSJHYG00000007758.1)". The record is from RNAcentral. Lineage: Eukaryota; Metazoa; Chordata; Aves; Passeriformes; Passerellidae.